Molecule: ribosomal RNA, 433 nt
Filed under: uncultured bacterium
Lineage: Bacteria
Description: partial 16S ribosomal RNA
Rfam family: Bacterial small subunit ribosomal RNA
Source: RNAcentral
AGCGAACGCUGGCGGCAUGCCUAACACAUGCAAGUCGAACGAGACCUUCGGGUCUAGUGGCGCACGGGUGCGUAACGCGUGGGAACCUGCCCUUAGGUUCGGAAUAACUCCCCGAAAGGGGUGCUAAUACCGGAUAAUGUCUUCGGACCAAAGAUUUAUCGCCUUUGGAUGGGCCCGCGUGGGAUUAGCUAGAUGGUAGGGUAAAAGCCUACCAAGGCGACGAUCCAUAACUGGUCUGAGAGGAUGAUCAGCCACACUGGGACUGAGACACGGCCCAGACUCCUAGGGGAGGCAGGAGUGGGUAAUAUAGGAAAGUGGGGGGAAGGCUGAUCCAGCUAGGCCGCGUGAGUGAUGAAGGCCUUAGGGUUGUAAAGCUAUUUUACCCGGGAUGAUAAUGACGGUACCGGGAGAAUAAGCUCCGGCUAACUCCGUG